CCUACGGGAGGCAGCAGUGGGGAAUUUUGGACAAUGGGCGCAAGCCUGAUCCAGCAAUGCCGCGUGAGUGAAGAAGGCCUUCGGGUUGUAAAGCUCUUUUGUCAGGGAAGAAACGGGUCUUGGAUAAUACCGUGGGGCUAAUGACGGUACCUGAAGAAUAAGCACCGGCUAACUACGUGCCAGCAGCCGCGGUAAUACGUAGGGUGCAAGCGUUAAUCGGAAUUACUGGGCGUAAAGCGUGCGCAGGCGGUUGUGUAAGACAGGUGUGAAAUCCCCGGGCUUAACCCGGGAAUGGCAUUUGUGACUGCACGGCUAGAGCGUGUCAGAGGGGGGUAGAAUUCCACGUGUAGCAGUGAAAUGCGUAGAGAUGUGGAGGAAUACCGAUGGCGAAGGCAGCCCCCUGGGAUAACACUGACGCUCAUGCACGAAAGCGUGGGGAGCAAACAGGAUUAGAUACCCUGGUAGUCCACGCCCUAAACGAUGUCUACUAGUUGUCGGGUCUUAAUUGACUUGGUAACGCAGCUAACGCGUGAAGUAGACCGCCUGGGGAGUACGGUCGCAAGAUUAAAACUCAAAGGAAUUGACGGCUGAGACGNGACGAGACGACGACGAGGAGGAGG
Molecule: ribosomal RNA, 620 nt
Filed under: uncultured bacterium
Lineage: Bacteria
Description: bacterial SSU rRNA
Rfam family: Bacterial small subunit ribosomal RNA
Source: RNAcentral